This is a ribosomal RNA of Petromyzon marinus (sea lamprey), 119 nucleotides long. The record is from Ensembl. NCBI's taxonomy places the organism in Eukaryota, Metazoa, Chordata, Hyperoartia, Petromyzontiformes, Petromyzontidae.
GCCGACGACCAUCUCACCCUGAACGCGCCUGAUCUCGUCUGAUCUUGGAAGCUAAACAGAGUCGAGCCUGGUUAGUAAUUGGAUGGGAGACUGCCUGGGAAUACCAGGUGUUGUAGGCC